Molecule: long non-coding RNA, 1146 nt
Organism: Arabidopsis lyrata subsp. lyrata
Lineage: Eukaryota; Viridiplantae; Streptophyta; Magnoliopsida; Brassicales; Brassicaceae
Exons: 3
Source: RefSeq, a predicted model, not a curated record
AAAUUAUUAAAAGAAGAGAACAAAAUCCCUAACACAAAAAUCGUUAUUAUCAUUUUGGUUUCGACAACAACCAACGGCGGCGACCGUCUCCUCCAUGGCUCCUCCAGCACCGGUGCCGGUCUCUUCUUUACUUUGAUUGCCCUUCUCUGUUAAUAGCUUCUGGGUUUGAUAAAGUUACGCAAAGAGACUAAAAGAAGAGUGAUCGAUCGAAGAAAGAUGGCGAUGGAAGUAGUAACACCGGCUCCGGCACAAAUCCCAUCGGAGAGGAACAUCGUUCUCGCUCCGGCAACAACAACAACAACCGCCACUGUUGAGAAUCCACAAGAAGAACAGGAUCAAGUUUCCAACACCAAGAAACCAUUUCUAGUAUUUCAGCAACACCACCGAUUCCUCAAGAUCAAUCACCCAAGUCUCGUUUACCAACUAAAAUCAUUCUACCCAAUAGGAAACCGGAGAAAUGGUCCACCGGCGUUUCUAGAUUGCUCUGUUUGAUUCACUGUUAAGGUUUGUAUAAAGACUAGAUCUUGUUGACUCUUUCUCGAAUCUUACUUAGAAGAUUCUGAAUUUGUGAAACUAGAACAAAGUUUGUUGUUUUCUUUGAUUCAAGCUUUUGAUUUUUGAUGCGUCACAUGGAAGUCAGAGAGAGCGUGACCGUGAAAGAGCCGCUGGUGAUAAGGGUAAGAAUAGUAACAAUGGUUUGAAGCCGGAGCAACGCCGUGAAAGAGAUGGAAAAGCAUUGCAAGAGAAGGCAGUUAAUAAAGCUGCUGAAGCUGCGGCUGCAGGUUCUAGUGGUGGAGCUGGAGGUAAAGGAGCUGCUAAGAUUAGAUCUCCAUGCCUUUUGCAUAUCGUUACUUGAAGAGAUUCAAACUCUCAAGGACCGUGACCUUGAGAAGGAUCGUCAACUCAAAUAUCUUAUGGAACAAGCUCCUCCUCCAACAAUUUGCACAAAUUCAACCACCGGAUUAUCCGAAAGGGCAAAAUGAGACGACGAAGACGACGAAGACGAGCAUAGAUGACGAUGACGACGAGACUCAAGAGUAGAUCGAUUAGGAUUUGAAUCUUUAUAUUAGAAUGACUGUACAAUAAAUUUUAAUUUGUAUGGAGUUUAAUUUUUAAUUUAAUUAUAAGUCUUUUUUGAAUUUUAAA